This 396-nucleotide unclassified non-coding RNA is filed under the name Hevea brasiliensis (rubber tree). The record is from RNAcentral. Lineage: Eukaryota; Viridiplantae; Streptophyta; Magnoliopsida; Malpighiales; Euphorbiaceae.
GAUGUCACGAACAUAAGCCUUCUCUAGCUUCUCUGUUGCUUUGAUAAUAGCAAAGAGUUCAGCUAAGUUGUCAUACAUUUCUCUUUCACGCUUGUCAUUCCAUAGCUUAACCUCCAUUUGAGUUUUCAAGUAUAUUUGAAAUAGGAAACCUUUUACAAUAGGGUUGGAGAAGAGAAUGGGACACGCGCAAAGAUGCUAAUCUUUGUCACUCAAAGAUCAUGAACAUGGCAGAUAAGAGCUCAAAAGAUGAAUAACAUGGCAAGCACUGAACCAAAAACAAAAAUAAAAUCUGAGCAGGUGAAAAAAAUGAUUAUGCAAAGAGCAAAGUAUGAAAAAGAGAGAAGAUAGAGACGUAUGUACAGAGAGAAGAAAUGGAAGACGCGGCUUUGAAUAAUG